Molecule: non-coding RNA, 647 nt
Organism: Arachis ipaensis
Lineage: Eukaryota; Viridiplantae; Streptophyta; Magnoliopsida; Fabales; Fabaceae
Source: RefSeq, a predicted model, not a curated record
UAAUUUUUGCUUUUUAUAUUUUUUUAUUUUUCUUUAAAUUUCAGAUUCUGAGAAGAGAAGUAUUUGGUCUGCUAGGGUUUUGUCUCCUCUUUCAAUCAAUGCCAUCCUCUCAUCCUCUUCUUCUGCUGUAUCUCUCGUUCGCUUAUCAUUGCCGCUGCAACACGCCUCAGACAACGCCGCAACCUGCUCCCGCCGCGCUACACGCUGCCGCCGCCGCCGCCGCCUCAACACGCUUCCGGGUGAAAUAGAUAUCUGAUUGAUUCUCUUGGUACGGGAAUCUACCAAGUGAGUUGGCUUCUGCAGUACCCCAGACCAUCACUGUCACCCCAGAAGGGAAUGUGGCUAUUCAAAGGGCAAGCCAUUGAAUUGUUUUGAAUUGUUUGAUCAGGAAACAGAACAGAAAGAAUGAGAUUAGAGCCAUUAUUAGUGGUAAAAUGUAAUAUCUAGAACUUAACAGUUUUUUGUUUGUGCUUUCUUGUUAUCAACCGUAAAAUGGACUGUGACAAGCAUUAUAACUUAACAGUUUUUUAUAUUCAUUGGGGUUUGUGAGGUCUCAGUUGAUAUAUAUUAUAUUUUCAUUCUGCAUCUUAAUACAUGGUUGAAGUGAAGUAAUUAAUUGCUUGGCCAUAUGAAACCUUUACCCUUUU